This is a long non-coding RNA of Acyrthosiphon pisum (pea aphid), 337 nucleotides long. RefSeq lists it as uncharacterized. The transcript has 3 exons. Lineage: Eukaryota; Metazoa; Arthropoda; Insecta; Hemiptera; Aphididae. The record is from RefSeq and is a predicted model, not a curated record.
GAAGUAUUAAGAAUUGAUCAUGCUUCUCUUGGUUUUAAAGAUAUACCAUAGGUACUACCAUUGUCCAACUGUGAAGAAGUAGGUAGGUGGCCAAUUUUAAAAGUGCAGAUCUUUGAAGACCAGGAUGUGUAAAUGUGAAUUGGAAAGUGGCAACAUAUACCUAGUUCAGACUUCAGAAAUUUAGUUAGACAUGAUUUAUGGAAAUUGGAUUCAUUAAUUUUUGGACAUUCAAAACUAUACCAUACUACUAUUGUCUGAUUGUGAAGAAGUAGGUAGCUAAUUUUAAUAGUGCAGAUCUUAGAAGACCAGGAUGUGUAGAUGUGAAUUGGGAAGCAAC